RNAcentral lists this ribosomal RNA (429 nucleotides) under uncultured Alphaproteobacteria bacterium. RNAcentral's name for it is "bacterial SSU rRNA". It matches the Rfam family "Bacterial small subunit ribosomal RNA", at positions 29 to 505 of the family's 1533-position model. Lineage: Bacteria; Pseudomonadati; Pseudomonadota; Alphaproteobacteria. The record is from RNAcentral.
AACGAACGCUGGCGGCAGGCCUCAUACAUGCAAGUCGAACGCCCCUUCGGGGGAGUGGCAGACGGGUGAGUAACACGUGGGAACCUACCCAAAGGUUCGGAAUAACUCAGGGAAACUUGAGCUAAUACCGGAUAAGCCUUACGAGGGAAAGAUUUAUCGCCUUUGGAUGGGCCCGCGGCAGAUUAGUUUGUUGGUGGGGUAAUGGCCUACCAAGACUACGAUCUGUAGCUGGUUUGAGAGGAUGAUCAGCCACACUGGGACUGAGACACGGCCCAGACUCCUACGGGAGGCAGCAGUAGGGAAUCUUGCACAAUGGGCGAAAGCCUGAUGCAGCCAUGCCGCGUGAGUGAAGAAGGCUCUAGGGUUGUAAAACUCUUUCAGCGGGGAAGAUAAUGACGGUACCCGCAGAAGAAGCCCCGGCUAACUCCG